This 443-nucleotide ribosomal RNA is filed under the name uncultured bacterium. RNAcentral describes it as "partial 16S ribosomal RNA". It matches the Rfam family "Bacterial small subunit ribosomal RNA", at positions 338 to 795 of the family's 1533-position model. The record is from RNAcentral.
CCUACGGGAGGCAGCAGUGGGGAAUAUUGGACAAUGGGGGGAACCCUGAUCCAGUGACGCCGCGUGAGUGAAGAAGUAUUUCGGUAUGUAAAGCUCUAUCAGCAGGGAAGAAAGAAAUGACGGUACCUGACUACGAAGCCCCGGCUAACUACGUGCCAGCAGCCGCGGUAAUACGUAGGGGGCAAGCGUUAUCCGGAUUUACUGGGUGUAAAGGGAGCGUAGACGGCGAUGCAAGUCUGAAGUGAAAGGCGGGGGCCCAACCCCCGGACUGCUUUGGAAACUGUAUGGCUGGAGUGCAGGAGAGGUAAGUGGAAUUCCUAGUGUAGCGGUGAAAUGCGUAGAUAUUAGGAGGAACACCAGUGGCGAAGGCGGCUUACUGGACUGUAACUGACGUUGAGGCUCGAAAGCGUGGGGAGCAAACAGGAUUAGAUACCCCGGUAGUC